This 509-nucleotide ribosomal RNA is filed under the name uncultured bacterium. Its description in RNAcentral is "partial 16S ribosomal RNA". It matches the Rfam family "Bacterial small subunit ribosomal RNA", at positions 28 to 523 of the family's 1533-position model. The record is from RNAcentral.
GAUGAACGCUAGCUACAGGCUUAACACAUGCAAGUCGAGGGGAAACGAUAUUGGAAGCUUGCUUCCGAUAGGCGUCGACCGGCGCACGGGUGAGUAACGCGUAUCCAACCUGCCCACCACUUGGGGAUAACCUUGCGAAAGUAAGACUAAUACCCAAUGAUAUCUCAAGAAGACAUCUGAAUGAGAUUAAAGAUUUAUCGGUGAUGGAUGGGGAUGCGGUCUGAUUAGCUUGUUGGCAGGGUAACGGCCCACCAAGGCGACGAUCAGUAGGGGUUCUUAGAGGAAGGUCCCCCACAUUGGAACUGAGACACGGUCCAAACUCCUACGGGAGGCAGCAGUGAGGAAUAUUGGUCAAUGGGCGAGAGCCUGAACCAGCCAAGUAGCGUGCAGGAUGACGGCCCUAUGGGUUGUAAACUGCUUUUAUAAGGGAAUAAAGUGAGCCUCGUGAGGCUUUUUGCAUGUACCUUAUGAAUAAGGACCGGCUAAUUCCGUGCCAGCCGCCGCCGUAA